Molecule: ribosomal RNA, 525 nt
Filed under: uncultured bacterium
Lineage: Bacteria
Description: bacterial SSU rRNA
Rfam family: Bacterial small subunit ribosomal RNA
Source: RNAcentral
UGGGGAAUUUUGCGCAAUGGGGGAAACCCUGACGCAGCAACGCCGCGUGGAGGAUGAAGUCUCUUGGGACGUAAACUCCUUUCGAUUGGGAAGAUAAUGACGGUACCAAUAGAAGAAGCCCCGGCUAACUUCGUGCCAGCAGCCGCGGUAAUACGAGGGGGGCAAGCGUUGUUCGGAAUUAUUGGGCGUAAAGGGUGCGUAGGCGGUUUGGUAAGUCUUGUGUGAAAUCUUCGGGCUCAACUCGAAGUCUGCACGAGAAACUGCCGGGCUUGAGUGUGGGAGAGGUGAGUGGAAUUUCCGGUGUAGCGGUGAAAUGCGUAGAUAUCGGAAGGAACACCUGUGGCGAAAGCGGCUCACUGGACCAUAACUGACGCUGAUGCACGAAAGCUAGGGGAGCAAACAGGAUUAGAUACCCUGGUAGUCCUAGCCCUAAACGAUGAUCGCUUGGUGUGACGGGUACCCAAUCCCGCCGUGCCGAAGCUAACGCGUUAAGCGAUCCGCCUGGGGAGUACGGUCGCAAGGCUG